CUGCACGUUGCACCCCGGGCUUCUCUGAAUAUAAGAAAUAUGACGAAAAAAGUCCCAAUGCUCGUGCUAGAUUAUUGUGCCGUUCGUGUUGCAGUUUAGCCUUUCUUUUCUGGCUGAUUUGUGUCUUAAUCAACGGUCAAAUGU
Molecule: small nucleolar RNA, 144 nt
Organism: Beta vulgaris subsp. vulgaris (sugar beet)
Lineage: Eukaryota; Viridiplantae; Streptophyta; Magnoliopsida; Caryophyllales; Amaranthaceae
Rfam family: small nucleolar RNA snoR134
Source: Rfam